Molecule: long non-coding RNA, 712 nt
Filed under: Cervus hanglu yarkandensis (Yarkand deer)
Lineage: Eukaryota; Metazoa; Chordata; Mammalia; Artiodactyla; Cervidae
Description: lncRNA (ENSCHYG00000002309.1)
Source: RNAcentral
CGCGUGUGUUGUAGCUCUGUCAAUCCUUGGAUUAGAACCAAUGAUUGCAGCUCGUAGGAGGGCUGUCCAGGGCCAGAUUGUACGAUGUGUCUCACUGCCAGAGUAUGAGGAGAGAUAAUUACUGAGAAGUCACACUCUCCCAUCCUUGGCUUUCUUGUGGUGUCCUUCAGCAAAACAGUGGAUUUAAAUCUCCUUCCACCAGCUCGAGAGCAACGCAAUCUGUCAGGAAAGAAAGAAAGAGAAAACCGAACCUGACAAAAAAGAAGAAAAAGAAGAAGAAAAAAAAUCAUGAAAACCAUCCAGGCAAAAAUGCACAAUUCUAUCUCUUGGGCAAUCUUCACGGCGCUGGCUGCUCUGUUUCUCUUUCAAGAUCCAAAUCUGACCUGAGUCUUUGCAGCUGGCCUUGCAGCAUCCCCUUCAGGGGUGCUCCUCUGGGUGUGAAUCCGUGGCAGGAUUUUAAUAAGAAAAGAUGGAGAAGAAGAUGGAACAGUCACCCAGGUGGGAGAGGACGGCCCUGGAAAAUCUCUCCCCCGUCUCCCUCCCAAGCCUGUGUGUUUCAUUAAAAUAUGUAUGACAACAUUUCUCCUAAUAUUGUUGCAUUACACCAUCCUUAAUUACAUAAUUCAACAUUUUCAAGGGUAUUUGGAGGAAAUUUGGACGGUUCAUUGACUGGUAUUUGAAGGAAGCUGAGAAUUAAAUUAGAAAACAUGAG